ACUGAACGCUGGCGGCAGGCUUAACACAUGCAAGUCGAGCGGGGUGAUGGUGCUUGCACUAUCACUUAGCGGCGGACGGGUGAGUAAUGCUUAGGAAUCUGCCUAUUAGUGGGGGACAACAUCUCGAAAGGGAUGCUAAUACCGCAUACGUCCUACGGGAGAAAGCAGGGGAUCACUUGUGACCUUGCGCUAAUAGAUGAGCCUAAGUCGGAUUAGCUAGUUGGUGGGGUAAAGGCCUACCAAGGCGACGAUCUGUAGCGGGUCUGAGAGGAUGAUCCGCCAAGCUGGGACUGAGAAACGGCCCAGACUACGACGGGAGGCAGCAGUGGGGAAUAUUGGACAAUGGGGGGAACCCUGAUCCAGCCAUGCCGCGUGUGUGAAGAAGGCCUUAUGGUUGUAAAGCACUUUAAGCGAGGAGGAGGCUCUUUUGGUUAAUACCCAAGAUGAGUGGACGUUACUCGCAGAAUAAGCACCGGCUAACUCUGUGCCAGCCGCCGCGGUAA
Molecule: ribosomal RNA, 503 nt
Filed under: uncultured bacterium
Lineage: Bacteria
Description: partial 16S ribosomal RNA
Rfam family: Bacterial small subunit ribosomal RNA
Source: RNAcentral